This 422-nucleotide ribosomal RNA is filed under the name uncultured bacterium. RNAcentral's name for it is "bacterial SSU rRNA". It matches the Rfam family "Bacterial small subunit ribosomal RNA", at positions 355 to 774 of the family's 1533-position model. The record is from RNAcentral.
UAAGGAAUAUUGGUCAAUGGACGCAAGUCUGAACCAGCCAUGCCGCGUGAAGGAUGAAGGUCCUCUGGAUUGUAAACUUCUUUUAUCUGGGACGAAAACGGGAUUUUUAUCUCAAUUGACGGUACCAGAGGAAUAAGCACCGGCUAACUCCGUGCCAGCAGCCGCGGUAAUACGGAGGAUCCGAGCGUUAUCCGGAUUUAUUGGGUUUAAAGGGUGCGUAGGCGGAAAGAUAAGUCAGCCUGUGAAAGUUUGCGGCUCAACCGUAAAAUUGCAGUUGAUACUGUUUGUCUUGAGUGUAGAUAAGGUAGGCGGAAUUCGUGGUGUAGCGGUUAAAUGCUUAGAUAUCACGAAGAACUCCGAUUGCGAAGGCAGCUUACCGGGGUACAACUGACGCUGAUGCACGAAAGUGUGGGUAUCAAACA